AUGAAUGGCCGCGGUACUUUGACCGUGCUAAGGUAGCGCAAUCAAUUGGUUUUUAAUUGGAGCCAGGUAUGAAUGGAGUUACGGGGUUUAGCUGUCUCUUAUUUAUUUUAUCGAAAUUACUGUGUAGGUGAAAAAGCCUAUAAGAAGAAAAAGGACGAGAAGACCCUUAGAGUUUUUCUUAUUUUAAGAUCUAUGUUUCUUAUACUAGUUUGGUUGGGGCAACGUAGGAGCAAAUUGAAUCUCCUGAAAGUAAUUUAUCGAUUAUUUUAGAAAUAAAUAAACUACCUUAGGGAUAACAGCAUAAUUUUAUAUUUAAGUUUGUGACCUCGAUGUUGGACUGGGAAACUGAAAGGUUAGCCGCCUUUUAGGUGAGUUCUGUUCGAAC
Molecule: ribosomal RNA, 385 nt
Filed under: Thecacera pennigera
Lineage: Eukaryota; Metazoa; Mollusca; Gastropoda; Nudibranchia; Polyceridae
Description: partial 16S ribosomal RNA
Rfam family: Archaeal large subunit ribosomal RNA
Source: RNAcentral